GAUGCUCAGAUCAGACCAACUGCCUUGAAGAAGCAGAAACCGGCUGAGCUGCCUGCAGGCUGUGCAGUGUGCUCCAGGGCUGUCACCAGUGCUGGGGUGGGCCUUGGUGCUGUAGCUGUCAUCUCUGCUCUCAUAACUAACCCCCCACUCAAACACAUCUGCAGAAUCGCCAUGACACAGGACAGUCCUGAUGAGGAUCCAGUAUUGGUGGUGUCAAAGAACCCAGAGAUCUCAAACCAGACCAAUGACUCUUGUGAAGAUGUGUGGACAGAGGGGUGCUCUGUGGGACACACUGUGCCACACUGUAGCUUCCAAGUUCCACCCGCUCUGCGUUGUUAGUGUCAGAUAUUUUACCUCAGUCUUCCUUCAUCAUGAUGUGAGUUGCGGUGGUCAGCCUCGGCUUUAAACAGUGCACGCAUGGGAAGUUCCAGGAGAACAAGUCAUAGGUUCCCAAAUGGGCACCGCUCCAAGCAGUGUGACGAAGUUCUGUGCUGCCCUGUCACGUCCUGCGUAGGAUGUGAGUCACCCCUCACCCACCAUGUCCACACUGUACUCCUCUGGCUCCCGUAGGAGUCCCCAAGGUUUUCAGAGCCACUGUCAUAGUGAGAGUAGUGACACGGACAGUGUAGACACACCAAAGUGAAACUAUGGAGUACUUACCUAAGUGCCACCCUUCAUCACCCCAGGAGGAAAAGAAGU
This is a long non-coding RNA of Mus musculus (house mouse), 699 nucleotides long. RefSeq annotates it as predicted gene, 39575. The transcript has 3 exons. The record is from RefSeq and is a predicted model, not a curated record. NCBI's taxonomy places the organism in Eukaryota, Metazoa, Chordata, Mammalia, Rodentia, Muridae.